This is a non-coding RNA of Carica papaya (papaya), 616 nucleotides long. The record is from RefSeq and is a predicted model, not a curated record. Lineage: Eukaryota; Viridiplantae; Streptophyta; Magnoliopsida; Brassicales; Caricaceae.
GGAAAAUGGAACCCUAAAAUGACAAGAUGGAAAAAAGGCGGCGGGAGAGAGGAAAGAGGAAGGGUCGUGAGACCUGAACCAGAUCUCACAUUUUUGCAAAAGCAGGGGAGGCAACAAAAGUCCGAAGAUCGGAGAUUGAUUCCGCACACUGAACGCGGUCGCGACGAGAAGUGAGGCUAGCUUAGAGAAUAGAGACGAUCAUACCCGGAUUCAUCUGUAUUGCUCUACGCCAAAGAGGUGAGAAGAUAGGAUUCAAUAUCUCAAAAAUAGUGUAGUAGAAUUGAUUUAGCGCACAGAGUCGUUACAAAUGCUCAAGCCUUAGGCAGGAGUUGCACCUUAGCAGUGGUAGUAGAGACCAAUUCGUGCAUGGUCAAGCUUUUGGCAAGGCUUGUACUCUAGCGGUAGCAGCAUAUACUGGUGUUUUGACAUUCCUUUAAAUUCAAAGAGAGUACCAUUUUUACUUAGAAGUGGGAAACUGAAUAAAGCAGGGGCAAUUUUAAAAAAUAGAAAGAGUGGCCGAAAUCAUCAAAGAAAUCUCUAUCUCCACAAGGGAAACCCUAAUCCACCCUCGGCUUUUAAAUAGGAAGCAAAACAGAAAAGAACAUUAGACUGAAAA